AAGUCGUAACAAGGUAUCUGUAGGUGAACCUGCAGAUGGAUCAUUUCGAUGAAAACCUUUUUUUUCUGAGGUGCGGCCCGCACCUGUCCAACUAAACUAGGGCUACCUUUUUUUCAACACGGUUGCAUCGGUCGGGUUCGAAGCAGAGGCAUGCGAGAGUGUGUCUUUACGACGACCUGACACCUUACAAAAACACUUUUGAUGAUCUAGGAUUAAGAAAGAAUUUAUUAUUUUUACGGCUGGUAAUGCGGUCGUCUAAAAAUCUUAAAAACAACUUUUGGCAACGGAUCUCUUGGUUCUCC
Molecule: unclassified non-coding RNA, 302 nt
Filed under: fungal sp.
Lineage: Eukaryota; Fungi
Description: partial internal transcribed spacer region
Rfam family: Eukaryotic small subunit ribosomal RNA (bases 1-46)
Source: RNAcentral